This 301-nucleotide ribosomal RNA is filed under the name uncultured bacterium. Its description in RNAcentral is "partial 16S ribosomal RNA". It matches the Rfam family "Bacterial small subunit ribosomal RNA", at positions 509 to 808 of the family's 1533-position model. The record is from RNAcentral.
CAGUAGCCGCGGGAAUACGAAGGGGGCUAGCGUUGUUCGGAAUUACUGGUCGUAAAGCGCACGUAGGCGGACAUUUAAGUCAGGGGUGAAAUCCCGGGGCUCAACCCCGGAACUGCCUUUGAUACUGGGUGUCUAGAGUAUGGAAGAGGUGAGUGGAAUUCCGAGUGUAGAGGUGAAAUUCGUAGAUAUUCGGAGGAACACCAGUGGCGAAGGCGGCUCACUGGUCCAUUACUGACGCUGAGGUGCGAAAGCGUGGGGAGCAAACAGGAUUAGAUACCCAGUAGUCCCUGUCUCUUAUACA